This is a long non-coding RNA of Haliotis rubra (blacklip abalone), 421 nucleotides long. RefSeq lists it as uncharacterized. The transcript is spliced from 3 exons. Lineage: Eukaryota; Metazoa; Mollusca; Gastropoda; Lepetellida; Haliotidae. The record is from RefSeq and is a predicted model, not a curated record.
GCUGUGACGUUAUCACCCGGACAGAAUAUAAGGAUGGGUUGCUCGCAUGUUUAUCAGCAUUAAACAUACUGCAUUUCUGCUGUCAAGCUGAAUAGUCAACUAGUUUGCCUAAAAUGAACACACAGGCUAAAGUUCUUGUCUUGGUUCUGAUUGUGACUUUAGUUAGUCAAGGUUUGUCUCAGUCUAGAGUCCGCGAAACUUGCGGUGGACGAUUUUGCAGUGAUGACGAGGCCGACUGCUACUGGUCAUGUCGUCACGAAUGCUAUGGCGACGGCGCAUGCGCAAGAGAUGCAGAAUAUGGCAAAUAUGUUUGCGAUUGCUACGAUUAGUGUUCAUGCAUUCUUUGAGGCACCAUUCACCAGAGUAAAAGAUUGUACUGUUAAUUUUUGUGUGUAUAAAAAAAUAAACAUUUCUGUUUGAA